RNAcentral lists this ribosomal RNA (252 nucleotides) under uncultured bacterium. RNAcentral's name for it is "partial 16S ribosomal RNA". It matches the Rfam family "Bacterial small subunit ribosomal RNA", at positions 524 to 776 of the family's 1533-position model. The record is from RNAcentral.
UACGUAAGGACCGAGCGUUGUCCGGAAUCAUUGGGCGUAAAGGGUACGUAGGCGGAUAAGCAAGUUAGAAGUGAAAUCCUAUAGCUCAACUCUAGUAAGCUUUUAAAACUGCUCAUCUUGAGGUAUGGAAGGGAAAGUGGAAUUCCUAGUGUAGCGGUGAAAUGCGCAGAUAUUAGGAGGAAUACCGGUGGCGAAGGCGACUUUCUGGACCUUUUCUGACGCUGAGGUACGAAAGCGUAGGUAGCAAACAGG